GGAAAUGUGGCUUAAUGGUAGAGUGCUUGGCUUGCAUGCAUGGAGCUCUGGGUUCAAUUCCUGGUACCA
Molecule: transfer RNA, 69 nt
Filed under: Dipodomys ordii (Ord's kangaroo rat)
Lineage: Eukaryota; Metazoa; Chordata; Mammalia; Rodentia; Heteromyidae
Rfam family: tRNA
About the family: Transfer RNA (tRNA) molecules are approximately 80 nucleotides in length. Their secondary structure includes four short double-helical elements and three loops (D, anti-codon, and T loops).
Source: Rfam by way of RNAcentral